GAUGAACGCUGGCGGCGUGCCUAAUACAUGCAAGUCGAGCGAACGGACGAGAAGCUUGUUUCUCUGAUGUUAGCGGCGGACGGGUGAGUAACACGUGGAUAACCUACCUAUAAGACUGGGAUAACUUCGGGAAACCGUAGCUAAUACCGGAUAAUAUUUUGAACCGCAUGGUUCAAAAGUGAAAGACGGUCUUGCUGUCACUUAUAGAUGGCUCCGCGCUGCAUUAGCUAGUUGGUAAGGUAACGGCUUACAAAGGCAACGAUGCAUAGCCGCCCUGAGAGGGUGAUCGGCCACACUGGAACUGAGACACGGUCCAGACUCCUACGGGAGGCAGCAGUAGGGAAUCUUCCGCAAUGGGCGAAAGCCUGACGGAGCAACGCCGCGUGAGUGAUGAAGGUCUUCGGAUCGUAAAACUCUGUUAUUAGUGAAGAACAUAUGUGUAAGUAACUGUGCACAUCUUGACGGUACCUAAUCAGAAAGCCACGGCUAACUACGUG
Molecule: ribosomal RNA, 497 nt
Filed under: uncultured bacterium
Lineage: Bacteria
Description: partial 16S ribosomal RNA
Rfam family: Bacterial small subunit ribosomal RNA
Source: RNAcentral